AGAACACAUACCAAUUGCCAUGCUGUGGAAGAAAUUCGAGCUAUGCUGUAGAAAGGGAAAGAAGUUGCAGUCAAGCGUGAGAGAGCAGUGGCAUCGGCCCUACCUCAUCAGCUCCUUACAAUGCAUGACGGUGGGGAGUCCUGUUUUUUCUUUUUUUGUUCGCCAGCCUUCCCGUCGCACAAGGUCACCAAGUCCCUACUAACAUAACUACUACCUAAGAAGACCAGGUUUGAUUUUAAUGCUCUUCCACCAUUGCUACUUCUCAUUACGACGUAUAUGUAAACAACUGAUGGUAUUUUUUUGUAUCGAAAACAACUGAUGGUAUUCUUAUGAACUAACUUCCAUAUUUUGAAAUUCAGCAACUUGGAUUCGUGACCAUGGUUAGUAGUAAUCUCUUUUCAGAUAAGGGGUUUCCUUGCACCAGUUUGGUACCAGUUCUUGACUUUGAUUUUCUAUCAUUCUUACUGGUGAGAGUUCUCCACUUUUCACUGUUUUUCUAUAUAUCUAGAUGAUGUUUCAAGCAGGGUGAUUGCAGUUCAGUUACUUGUGGAAUAUUGAAGAGUUGUUGUUCAAUUCCAUGCUAAACGGCCGGUGUUCCUAUCUGAUUUGUUUUUGAAAGAAUGUUCACCUUAGAGGUCAUCCAAGGCCUGGUGACAAGCAGGAUGAGGACAUCAUAAUGACCAGCACUGGAGCAGCAUUUUGAAUAUCAUGACCAUAAAGUGGAAAGCUUAUUACGGAAGUACAAGAUCUUGUGCAGAGUUGAUUAACUACACUGAGCUUGCUCGAUGCCAUCUGAAACUCAAGGAUCAAGAUGUGCUCAGUCGAUGAUGGCGAUACCCAGACAUUAUGAAAAAUGUUUCCAUAUAAGGCCUUAACUUAAAUUUUAGACGAACAUUGUUUCGAAGAUAUUGAUUUUAAUGCUCUUCCACCAUUGGUACUUCUGAUUCAACGUAUAUGUAAACAUCUGAAGGUAUUCUUAUGAACAAAUUCAUAUUUUCAAAUUUAGAAGCUUGGAUUCGUGACCG
This is a long non-coding RNA of Papaver somniferum (opium poppy), 1025 nucleotides long. RefSeq lists it as uncharacterized. The transcript is spliced from 7 exons. Lineage: Eukaryota; Viridiplantae; Streptophyta; Magnoliopsida; Ranunculales; Papaveraceae. The record is from RefSeq and is a predicted model, not a curated record.